UCCUCCAUGGCGCAAUUGGCUAGCGCGUCUGACUGUUAACAACUGUGGUUGAGAGUAAUCAGGAGGUUGGUGGUUCGAGCCCACCUGGGGGAG
The sequence is a transfer RNA, 93 nucleotides long. It matches the Rfam family "tRNA". Rfam says of the family: Transfer RNA (tRNA) molecules are approximately 80 nucleotides in length. Their secondary structure includes four short double-helical elements and three loops (D, anti-codon, and T loops). Further hydrogen bonds mediate the characteristic L-shaped molecular structure. tRNAs have two regions of fundamental functional importance: the anti-codon, which is responsible for specific mRNA codon recognition, and the 3' end, to which the tRNAs corresponding amino acid is attached (by aminoacyl-tRNA synthetases). tRNAs cope with the degeneracy of the genetic code in two manners: having more than one tRNA (with a specific anti-codon) for a particular amino acid; and 'wobble' base-pairing, i.e. permitting non-standard base-pairing at the 3rd anti-codon position.